GACAUGAUUCUCUCUUAAUCACGAUUAAAUGUAAAAUGGCAGAAACAUUCCUUUUGGGCAAAUCACUUUUCUCCUUUUAAAUCAAUGCUAUUUAGAAACAAAACAAAUAAAAUGGAGGCAAUAUCAAUUACCAAGGAUGAAAAGGCUUUAUCUUAUCACAUCUUCAAGGUUUUAUGCCUUUUUCUUCGUGUCCUGCCCUUCCCUCCUCCACUCCCUGCUCCUGUUUCUCUGUGAGUCAGGUUUUAACAAGGGGGACGGCAGAAAUCUCCAAGGAUAUUUCGAGGGUGAGAAAAUGCUACGAUGGACCUGCGUUUCUUGACUAAUGGUGAAAACAGAAGCUCAGAGAGGUCAAGUAACUUCUUCAAGAUUGCACAGCUAAGUGGUAGAAGCAUGUUUCCAGCUUCAGAUCCAGAAACCUCUGGCCGCUCAGUUCUCUUGCAGACAUGGCACAUGGCAAGCAGGUUGCAGAUGAUUGGCAUGUCUCCCUAAAGAACAGGUGCUGUAUUCGUUGGUAACAUGAACUCAAAAUAAAAUCAAGAACAAAGUCUCA
RNAcentral lists this long non-coding RNA (550 nucleotides) under Callithrix jacchus (white-tufted-ear marmoset). Its description in RNAcentral is "lncRNA (ENSCJAG00000058060.2)". The record is from RNAcentral. Lineage: Eukaryota; Metazoa; Chordata; Mammalia; Primates; Cebidae.